GGGGGUGUGGCUCAGUGGUAGAGUGUCUGCCUGGCAUGCACAGACCCUGGGUUUGAUCCCCAGCACCACAC
This 71-nucleotide transfer RNA is filed under the name Ictidomys tridecemlineatus (thirteen-lined ground squirrel). Its description in RNAcentral is "Spermophilus tridecemlineatus (thirteen-lined ground squirrel) tRNA". It matches the Rfam family "tRNA". Rfam says of the family: Transfer RNA (tRNA) molecules are approximately 80 nucleotides in length. Their secondary structure includes four short double-helical elements and three loops (D, anti-codon, and T loops). The record is from Rfam by way of RNAcentral. Lineage: Eukaryota; Metazoa; Chordata; Mammalia; Rodentia; Sciuridae.